CUACGGGUGGCACCAGUGGGGAAUAUUGCGCAAUGGAGGCAACUCUGACGCAGCCAUGCCGCGUGCAGGAAGAAGGCCUUAUGGGUCGUAAACUGCUUUUAUUUAGGAAUAAACCCCCGAACGUGUUCGGGGCUGAAGGUACUAAACGAAUAAGCACCGGCUAACUCCGUGCCAGCAGCCGCGGUAAUACGGAGGGUGCAAGCGUUAUCCGGAUUUAUUGGGUUUAAAGGGUGCGCAGGCGGGCUAUUAAGUCAGUGGUGAAAUCCCGGGGCUCAACUCCGGAACUGCCAUUGAUACUGAUAGUCUUGAGUUUGGUUGAAGUGGGCGGAAUGUAGCAUGUAGCGGUGAAAUGCAUAGAUAUGCUACAGAACACCAAUCGCGAAGGCAGCUCACUAAGCCAAAACUGACGCUCAUGCACGAAAGCGUGGGGAUCAAACAGGAUUAGAUACCCCCGUAGUC
Molecule: ribosomal RNA, 459 nt
Filed under: uncultured bacterium
Lineage: Bacteria
Description: partial 16S ribosomal RNA
Rfam family: Bacterial small subunit ribosomal RNA
Source: RNAcentral